UGCAGAUGAUGUAAACGAAUAUUUGCUAUCUAAACCAAUCAUGUUGACGAAUUACUACCAAGAUCUCUGAUGCA
Small nucleolar RNA from Gadus morhua (Atlantic cod), 74 nucleotides. Its record names the gene SNORD24. It matches the Rfam family "Small nucleolar RNA SNORD24". From Rfam's summary of the family: U24 is a member of the C/D class of snoRNA which contain the C (UGAUGA) and D (CUGA) box motifs. The record is from Ensembl. NCBI's taxonomy places the organism in Eukaryota, Metazoa, Chordata, Actinopteri, Gadiformes, Gadidae.